CCCCCUACGUCCUGGGCGACACACGUACUACAAUGGGUAAGACAAAGGGUAGCCAAGUCGCGAGGCCGAGCCAAUCCCAUAAACUUAUCCUCAGUUCAGAUUGCAGGCUGCAACUCGCCUGCAUGAAGGAGGAAUCGCUAGUAAUCGCAGGUCAGCAUACUGCGGUGAAUCCGUUCCCGGGCCUU
This 185-nucleotide ribosomal RNA is filed under the name uncultured Arthrospira sp. RNAcentral's name for it is "partial 16S ribosomal RNA". It matches the Rfam family "Bacterial small subunit ribosomal RNA", at positions 1198 to 1382 of the family's 1533-position model. The record is from RNAcentral. Lineage: Bacteria; Bacillati; Cyanobacteriota; Cyanophyceae; Oscillatoriales; Microcoleaceae.